AAGGCUAAAUACUCCUGACUGACCGAUAGUGAACCAGUACCGUGAGGGAAAGGCGAAAAGAACCCCGGCGAGGGGAGUGAAAAAGAACCUGAAACCGUGUACGUACAAGCAGUGGGAGCCUCUUUUAUGGGGUGACUGCGUACCUUUUGUAUAAUGGGUCAGCGACUUAUAUUCUGUAGCAAGGUUAACCGAAUAGGGGAGCCGAAGGGAAACCGAGUCUUAACCGGGCGUUAAGUUGCAGGGUAUAGACCCGAAACCCGGUGAUCUAGCCAUGGGCAGGUUGAAGGUUGGGUAACACUAACUGGAGGACCGAACCGACUAAUGUUGAAAAAUUAGCGGAUGACUUGUGGCUGGGGGUGAAAGGCCAAUCAAACCGGGAGAUAGCUGGUUCUCCCCGAAAGCUAUUUAGGUAGCGCCUCGUGAAUUCAUCUCCGGGGGUAGAGCACUGUUUCGGCAAGGGGGUCAUCCCGACUUACCAACCCGAUGCAAACUGCGAAUACCGGAGAAUGUUAUCACGGGAGACACACGGCGGGUGCUAACGUCCGUCGUGAAGAGGGAAACAACCCAGACCGCCAGCUAAGGUCCCAAAGUCAUGGUUAAGUGGGAAACGAUGUGGGAAGGCCCAGACAGCCAGGAUGUUGGCUUAGAAGCAGCCAUCAUUUAAAGAAAGCGUAAUAGCUCACUGGUCGAGUCGGCCUGCGCGGAAGAUGUAACGGGGCUAAACCAUGCACCGAAGCUGCGGCAGCGACACUGUGUGUUGUUGGGUAGGGGAGCGUUCUGUAAGCCUGUGAAGGUGUACUGUGAGGUAUGCUGGAGGUAUCAGAAGUGCGAAUGCUGACAUAAGUAACGAUAAAGCGGGUGAAAAGCCCGCUCGCCGGAAGACCAAGGGUUCCUGUCCAACGUUAAUCGGGGCAGGGUGAGUCGACCCCUAAGGCGAGGCCGAAAGGCGUAGUCGAUGGGAAACAGGUUAAUAUUCCUGUACUUGGUGUUACUGCGAAGGGGGGACGGAGAAGGCUAUGUUGGCCGGGCGACGGUUGUCCCGGUUUAAGCGUGUAGGCUGGUUUUCCAGGCAAAUCCGGAAAAUCAAGGCUGAGGCGUGAUGACGAGGCACUACGGUGCUGAAGCAACAAAUGCCCUGCUUCCAGGAAAAGCCUCUAAGCAUCAGGUAACAUCAAAUCGUACCCCAAACCGACACAGGUGGUCAGGUAGAGAAUACCAAGGCGCUUGAGAGAACUCGGGUGAAGGAACUAGGCAAAAUGGUGCCGUAACUUCGGGAGAAGGCACGCUGAUAUGUAGGUGAAGUCCCUCGCGGAUGGAGCUGAAAUCAGUCGAAGAUACCAGCUGGCUGCAACUGUUUAUUAAAAACACAGCACUGUGCAAACACGAAAGUGGACGUAUACGGUGUGACGCCUGCCCGGUGCCGGAAGGUUAAUUGAUGGGGUCAGCGCAAGCGAAGCUCUUGAUCGAAGCCCCGGUAAACGGCGGCCGUAACUAUAACGGUCCUAAGGUAGCGAAAUUCCUUGUCGGGUAAGUUCCGACCUGCACGAAUGGCGUAAUGAUGGCCAGGCUGUCUCCACCCGAGACUCAGUGAAAUUGAACUCGCUGUGAAGAUGCAGUGUACCCGCGGCAAGACGGAAAGACCCCGUGAACCUUUACUAUAGCUUGACACUGAACAUUGAGCCUUGAUGUGUAGGAUAGGUGGGAGGCUUUGAAGUGUGGACGCCAGUCUGCAUGGAGCCGACCUUGAAAUACCACCCUUUAAUGUUUGAUGUUCUAACGUGGACCCGUGAUCCGGGUUGCGGACAGUGUCUGGUGGGUAGUUUGACUGGGGCGGUCUCCUCCUAAAGAGUAACGGAGGAGCACGAAGGUUGGCUAAUCCUGGUCGGACAUCAGGAGGUUAGUGCAAUGGCAUAAGCCAGCUUGACUGCGAGCGUGACGGCGCGAGCAGGUGCGAAAGCAGGUCAUAGUGAUCCGGUGGUUCUGAAUGGAAGGGCCAUCGCUCAACGGAUAAAAGGUACUCCGGGGAUAACAGGCUGAUACCGCCCAAGAGUUCAUAUCGACGGCGGUGUUUGGCACCUCGAUGUCGGCUCAUCACAUCCUGGGGCUGAAGUAGGUCCCAAGGGUAUGGCUGUUCGCCAUUUAAAGUGGUACGCGAGCUGGGUUUAGAACGUCGUGAGACAGUUCGGUCCCUAUCUGCCGUGGGCGCUGGAGAACUGAGGGGGGCUGCUCCUAGUACGAGAGGACCGGAGUGGACGCAUCACUGGUGUUCGGGUUGUCAUGCCAAUGGCACUGCCCGGUAGCUAAAUGCGGAAGAGAUAAGUGCUGAAAGCAUCUAAGCACGAAACUUGCCCCGAGAUGAGUUCUCCCUGACCCUUUAAGGGUCCUGAAGGAACGUUGAAGACGACGACGUUGAUAGGCCGGGUGUGUAAGCGCAGCGAUGCGUUGAGCUAACCGGUACUAAUGAACCGUGAGGCUUAACCUUACAACGCCGAAGGUGUUU
Molecule: ribosomal RNA, 2500 nt
Filed under: Escherichia coli
Lineage: Bacteria; Pseudomonadati; Pseudomonadota; Gammaproteobacteria; Enterobacterales; Enterobacteriaceae
Description: partial 23S ribosomal RNA
Rfam family: Bacterial large subunit ribosomal RNA
Source: RNAcentral